UGGGGAAUAUUGCGCAAUGGGCGAAAGCCUGACGCAGCGACGCCGCGUGAGGGAUGAAGGUCUUCGGAUCGUAAACCUCUGUCAGCAGGGAAGAACGGUCACUGUGCUAAUCAGCAGUGAAUUGACGGUACCUGCAAAGGAAGCACCGGCUAACUCCGUGCCAGCAGCCGCGGUAAUACGGAGGGUGCGAGCGUUAAUCGGAAUUACUGGGCGUAAAGCGCUCGUAGGCGGUAUGUCAAGUCAAGGGUGAAAUCCCCGCGCUCAACGUGGGAACUGCCUUUGAAACUGGCAAACUGGAGUGUGUGAGAGGAUAGUGGAAUUCCAGGUGUAGGAGUGAAAUCCGUAGAUAUCUGGAGGAACAUCAGUGGCGAAGGCGACUAUCUGGCACAUAACUGACGCUGAGGAGCGAAAGCGUGGGUAGCAAACA
RNAcentral lists this ribosomal RNA (427 nucleotides) under uncultured Desulfovibrionaceae bacterium. Its description in RNAcentral is "bacterial SSU rRNA". It matches the Rfam family "Bacterial small subunit ribosomal RNA", at positions 355 to 774 of the family's 1533-position model. The record is from RNAcentral. Lineage: Bacteria; Pseudomonadati; Thermodesulfobacteriota; Desulfovibrionia; Desulfovibrionales; Desulfovibrionaceae.